GGGCGGUUAACUCAGCGGCUAGAGUGCCGGUUUUACACGCCGGGAGUCAAAGGUUCGAAUCCUUUACCGCCCACCA
RNAcentral lists this transfer RNA (76 nucleotides) under Deltaproteobacteria bacterium. RNAcentral's name for it is "tRNA-Val". It matches the Rfam family "tRNA". Rfam says of the family: Transfer RNA (tRNA) molecules are approximately 80 nucleotides in length. Their secondary structure includes four short double-helical elements and three loops (D, anti-codon, and T loops). The record is from RNAcentral. Lineage: Bacteria; Pseudomonadati; Myxococcota; Myxococcia.